Molecule: ribosomal RNA, 510 nt
Filed under: uncultured bacterium
Lineage: Bacteria
Description: partial 16S ribosomal RNA
Rfam family: Bacterial small subunit ribosomal RNA
Source: RNAcentral
GACGAACGCUGGCGGCGUGCUUAACACAUGCAAGUCGAACGAAGAGCGAUGGAAGCUUGCUUCUAUCAAUCUUAGUGGCGAACGGGUGAGUAACGCGUAAUCAACCUGCCCUUCAGAGGGGGACAACAGUUGGAAACGACUGCUAAUACCGCAUACGAUCUAAUCUCGGCAUCGAGGAUAGAUGAAAGGUGGCCUCUACAUGUAAGCUACCACUGAAGGAGGGGAGUGCGUCUGAUUAGCUAGUUGGAGGGGUAACGGCCCGCCAAGGCGAUGAUCAGUAGCCGGUCGGAGAGGAUGAACAGCCACAUUGGGACUGAGACACGCCCCAGACUCCUACGGGAGGCAGCAGUGGCGAAUCUUCCGCAAUGGACGAAAGUCUGACGGAGCAACACCGCGUGAGUGGUGACGGCCUUCGGGUUGGAAAGCUCUGUUAAUCGGGACGAAAGGCCUUCUUGCGAAUAGUGAGAAGGAUUGACGGUACCGGAAGAGAAAGCCACGGCUAACUACGUG